AGGGUGUAUAUAUAGCCAAUGAACGACAGCGUUACAUGCUGAUUACGGAGUGUAAACCUUGCCACGUAUAUUUAUUAUUCAGUGUGUAUCAGCAAUCUGACAACAAAUAUCUCAAGAUGAGCGAGGCAGACGAAAAAUAUUAUAAAGACGAAUACGAUAACUACAACGUUGAACAGGACAAGGUUGUCCACUCCAGUCACAGUGGUAAAGGCCGGACAAAGAAAGAAGUUGACCAACACCAUCAUACCGACCCCAGCGGACACACCAGAAAAAACGUCCAGAAACUUGUCAACAAUUCACACAAUCAGCGGGACCCUCCAAAACAAUAACGAUUAUGACAUAUCCAGCCAAGCUGAUUUACCAAACAAACCGAGAUUAUGGACAAGGAUGUUGGACUCCGUACAAAUGUUGAGGGUCGGUCUCUCCACGUGAUUGGAAUAACACGUGACAUAUACAACUGGCCAAUUAAAUUGACUUGAUUACCUAUUUGGAGGUAACCAGAUCGCCAAUCACGUGAUCUCUUUAAUUGUGAAACUGUCUGAUGCAGUUCUUAAUUUAUAUGGAGAGGAACCUGGAGAUAACUCCGGAAUCGUCUCAAGAAGAUGAAAAGAUGACACUGUAUUUACUUUGUUGUUAAAAGUUUUCUGUAGAA
This is a long non-coding RNA of Pecten maximus, 652 nucleotides long. RefSeq lists it as uncharacterized. The record is from RefSeq and is a predicted model, not a curated record. Lineage: Eukaryota; Metazoa; Mollusca; Bivalvia; Pectinida; Pectinidae. The transcript is spliced from 2 exons.